CUAAGUUUAAUGGCGACCGGCGCACGGGUGAGUAACACGUAUCCAACCUGCCGAUGACUCGGGGAUAGCCUUUCGAAAGAAAGAUUAAUACCCGAUGGCAUAGUUCUUCCGCAUGGUGGAACUAUUAAAGAAUUUCGGUCAUCGAUGGGGAUGCGUUCCAUUAGGUUGUUGGCGGGGUAACGGCCCACCAAGCCUUCGAUGGAUAGGGGUUCUGAGAGGAAGGUCCCCCACAUUGGAACUGAGACACGGUCCAAACUCCUACGGGAGGCAGCAUG
RNAcentral lists this ribosomal RNA (275 nucleotides) under uncultured bacterium. Its description in RNAcentral is "partial 16S ribosomal RNA". It matches the Rfam family "Bacterial small subunit ribosomal RNA", at positions 79 to 353 of the family's 1533-position model. The record is from RNAcentral.